Molecule: ribosomal RNA, 405 nt
Filed under: uncultured Eubacteriales bacterium
Lineage: Bacteria; Bacillati; Bacillota; Clostridia; Eubacteriales
Description: uncultured Clostridiales bacterium partial 16S ribosomal RNA
Rfam family: Bacterial small subunit ribosomal RNA
Source: RNAcentral
UUGGGAAUAUUGGACAAUGGAGGAAACUCUGAUCCAGUGACGCCGCGUGAAGGAAGAAGGUCUUCGGAUUGUAAACUUAUUUUAUCAGGGAAGAAAAAAAUGACUGUACCUGAAGAAGAAGCACCGGCAAACUACGUGCCAGCAGCCGCGGUAAUACGUAGGGUGCAAGCGUUAUCCGGAUUUACUGGGUGUAAAGGGCGAGUAGACGGCCUGGCAAGUCAGAUGUGAAAACUUGGAGCUCAACUCCAAGACUGCAUCUGAAACUGUUAGGCUAGAGUGCAGGAGAGGAAAGUGGAAUUCCUAGUGUAGCGGUGAAAUGCGUAGAUAUUAGGAGGAACACCAGUGGCGAAGGCGACUUUCUGGACUGUAACUGACGUUGAGGCGCGAAAGUGUGGGGAGCAAACA